This 153-nucleotide ribosomal RNA is filed under the name Protousnea dusenii. RNAcentral's name for it is "5.8S ribosomal RNA". It matches the Rfam family "5.8S ribosomal RNA". From Rfam's summary of the family: 5.8S ribosomal RNA (5.8S rRNA) is a component of the large subunit of the eukaryotic ribosome. It is transcribed by RNA polymerase I as part of the 45S precursor that also contains 18S and 28S rRNA. Lineage: Eukaryota; Fungi; Ascomycota; Lecanoromycetes; Lecanorales; Parmeliaceae. The record is from RNAcentral.
AAAAACUUUCAACAACGGAUCUCUUGGUUCCAGCAUCGAUGAAAACGCAGCGAAAUGCGAUAACUAAUGUGAAUGCAAGUGAAUCAUCGAGUCUUUGAACGCACAUUGCGCCCCUCGGUAUUCCCGGGGGGCAUGCUGUUCGAGCGUCAUUAC